UACGUAGGGCGCAAGCGUUGUCCGGAAUUAUUGGGCGUAAAGAGCUCGUAGGCGGCUUGUCACGUCGGGUGUGAAAACCCGGGGCUCAACCCCGGGCCUGCAGUCGAUACGGGCGGACUAGAGUUCGGCAGGGGAGACUGGAAUUCCUGGUGUAGCGGUGAGAUGCGCAGAUAUCAGGAGGAACACCGGUGGCGAAGGCGGGUCUCUGGGCCGAUACUGACGCUGAGGAGCGAAAGCGUGGGGAGCGAACAGG
RNAcentral lists this ribosomal RNA (253 nucleotides) under uncultured bacterium. Its description in RNAcentral is "partial 16S ribosomal RNA". It matches the Rfam family "Bacterial small subunit ribosomal RNA", at positions 524 to 776 of the family's 1533-position model. The record is from RNAcentral.